AUGGUUUCUGCAGCUAGGAGAGGAGAAGACCAAAUCAGAACAUGCAUAUUGAUCCCAGCUAUGCAUCAAAGAUGGUCAGACUCUGGUAUUUUAUAUAUUCCAUCUACAGAAGAGACUAGAAACAUAGAUUCCAAAAUGUAAAUCUGACAUCCUGCUGGAAAUUAUCACAGCUGCUUUGAUUUUCAACAAUGCAGCUGGUGGUUGGACCCAUUUAAUUGUG
Molecule: long non-coding RNA, 220 nt
Filed under: Chrysemys picta bellii (western painted turtle)
Lineage: Eukaryota; Metazoa; Chordata; Testudines; Emydidae
Description: lncRNA (ENSCPBG00000025112.1)
Source: RNAcentral